RNAcentral lists this ribosomal RNA (567 nucleotides) under Sarocladium oryzae. RNAcentral describes it as "partial 28S ribosomal RNA". It matches the Rfam family "Eukaryotic large subunit ribosomal RNA", at positions 77 to 668 of the family's 3401-position model. The record is from RNAcentral. Lineage: Eukaryota; Fungi; Ascomycota; Sordariomycetes; Hypocreales; Sarocladiaceae.
GCCUCAGUACGGCGAGUGAAGCGGCAACAGCUCAAAUUUGAAAUCUGGCCGCAAGGUCCGAGUUGUAAUUUGCAGAGGAUGCUUUUGGCGAGGUGCCUUCCGAGUUCCCUGGAACGGGACGCCAUAGAGGGUGAGAGCCCCGUACGGUUGGACCACCGAGCCUCUGUAAAGCUCCUUCGACGAGUCGAGUAGUUUGGGAAUGCUGCUCUAAAUGGGAGGUGUACGUCUUCUAAAGCUAAAUACCGGCCAGAGACCGAUAGCGCACAAGUAGAGUGAUCGAAAGAUGAAAAGCACUUUGAAAAGAGGGUUAAAAAGUACGUGAAAUUGUUGAAAGGGAAGCGUUUAUGACCAGACUUGGGCUUGGUUGAACAUCCGGCGUUCUCGCCGGUGCACUCUGCCAGUCCAGGCCAGCAUCAGUUUGUCCCGGGGGAUAAAGGCGGUGGGAAUGUGGCUCCCCCGGGAGUGUUAUAGCCCGCCGUGCAAUGCCCUGGGACGGACUGAGGAACGCGCUUCGGCACGGAUGCUGGCGUAAUGGUCAUCAACGACCCGUCUUGAACCACCGGACCA